This 3176-nucleotide long non-coding RNA is filed under the name Panax ginseng (ginseng). RNAcentral describes it as "long non-coding RNA (PGIN_LNC012490)". The record is from RNAcentral. Lineage: Eukaryota; Viridiplantae; Streptophyta; Magnoliopsida; Apiales; Araliaceae.
CCUUCCUAAUUUUCCCCCAAAUUAUAGGGUUUCCACUAGCAGAGGCAGAGAUAUAUAAGAAAUUCUUCAUAUUGAAUGCUCUUGGAACAGAAAUUCAAAAGAAAGAAGAGAGAAUGUUGAGAACAAGGUUGCUAUGGUUCACAUUGGGCUUCGGAUCCUCAGCAGCUACAAUUACCCACUUCGUCUUCAAAGAUCUCUGGGUCGAUCGCCAAAUUCUCUCUACCCAUGUAUGAUUCUAAUGUUUCCUCUUUUCCUUCAAUUUUGCACAAUACAUUGUGGUUUAUACACGAUUAUGUAUAUAUAAUUUGUAUGAAAGUCGUGAUUUUUUAUUGUGUUUUUUUUUGUAGUUGAAGCAGCAGUUUGAGGCCCUAGACACUAGAGUCUCCGAUCUGGAACAGGUCCUUCCUAACAAUUCCAAUCCCAACCAGGUAAAUUAUAUAUAUAUAUAUAUAUAUAUAUAUAUAUAUAUAUAUAUUAAUAUCCUGUCUUUGAAUUAUGGUGGUUUGUGUAAGUUGUGAUCAAUUGAUGAUAAAUUUAUUUGUGGUUUUUUCUUUUUAUCAUAAUUUGAUCAUAUUUAGUUUUUUUAGGGUUUAAAUUUCUCUUGUACAAAAUUGUUGCGGACGUCUUGGUCUUAAAAAUUUUAGCUUUUAAUUGAUAAUUAUUGGAAAGUUUGUAUUUUGUUAUGGUCCUGCGUGGAUACAAUGGGUUUUGAGGUUGAGGAAAACACGCAUAUAGUUAACAAACGCGUAAACCGUUGAUUGCAAAAAUAAUUAGUGGGUCAUAUUUAAUUUAAUUUGAUGUAGACAAUUAUAUACCUUCCUUUCCUAAAUUGAGUUUAUUGAGAUGUUAUUUAGUAUCCUCUAUUAACAGCUUUUUGCAUCUUUCAAUGAAAGAAAUUCCAGGUACCUUUUUAGCUCACAGACUAUUUUGUCUAGGAAAACACCUCAAACUAAAUUGACUUCCUCCUUUGGUCUACCAUUACUGUUUUCGCUGCUUUGUCCACUUACUUUGCUUAUGAUUCAUCGACAGUUGGACUAUAUUUGUUUGCUGUAGUCUUGGGUCUACGAUGCCUUGAAGUUUCUGGAUUCCUGAGAACAAUCAUUAGCAGAACACUGCAAGUAUUUUCUGAAAGCAUGAAAAAAUAGACAUGUCAUAUCAAAGUUUUGCCAUUAUGUGCCUUGUAUGGAUUGCUGUUGUUUAACUAUUCUGACUAAACCCUCUGUCUGAAACUGAUGCUUCCCAUAAAAAUUCAAAGAAGUGGAGAACUCUAGAGUUUGAAAAUUGGCUUGCUUUCAAGGCAUCACAUUCCUGGAUACUUUAAUACUUUACUUUAGGUCACUAACUUCUUCUGUUUGUCUUUAUUUAGGUUGUUUUGUUGUUGCUCAGUUUUUUAUGUGUUUUCUUGUUAUGUAUUGGUCAGGAACAGUUAGGUGUGUGACAUAUUUGGGGUAUUUUAGCAGUUCUUAUUAUUGAGAUAGCUAUUUCAUUAUUAGUAAAUGUAAUGCUUUUAUCUAGAUAGCUAAAACGUUGUUAGCAUGUUUAUGUGAAAUAGCUCUUGUUUAACAGUUUGAACCAAGGCCUUAGACUGAAAGGAAGCCACAAAACGAUCUCAGUAUGCGCUGAUUUGGCUGAAUGGGCCACAUACAGCAGCAACAGCAUGCAUAUAUAAGUUGAGUUUACAUGGGGACAAACCCUGGAUAGAUUAAGCAUGUACAUAAUCCCCCCNNNNNNNNNNNNNNNNNNNNNNNNNNNNNNNNNNNNNNNNNNNNNNNNNNNNNNNNNNNNNNNNNNNNNNNNNNNNNNNNNNNNNNNNNNNNNNNNNNNNCCCCUCGUCUUAUAAAAGAAACAAAAUUUAAAGAAAAGAAGUGCUGAAUUGCUGAUUGUUGUAAUAUCACUUUCUCAUUGUUGUGAACUUCUUGAAGUACACAAGCUUGGGUUCAGAAUAACAUUUCUAUAAAGAACUCUCACUCGCAACAAACUUCUUGAUGCUUAUAUUAAAUGUAUGCCUGCUGUUGGUAUAGCUGGUUGGAUAAUGAAUGCUUAUAGGUGAAUAUCGUCACUCUUUGGGUUUUAGAAAUUUUUGCUCUUAUAUUUGCCUUUAAGCGUCUAUGAAUUGUGUUGUGUUUAACUUGACUAUAGUUAACUAUCUUCGAAUAUUCUUUCCCUUAUUAUUUCACGGAUCUUGUUAUUGUGCCCUUACAGCUGUAGUACUUUGUUGCAGGAGUAAGAAUGGAAUUUAACCUGAUGGCCAGCUUUCUUUUACUCUGCUCAACUCCCCAUCUUUUGCAGAUUCUCCUUUUUUGUAUUAUAAUCUUUUCUUGGCUCAUGAAUACAAAGUUGCUAAUCUGUAACAUAGGACGUUACUCGUCUUGAUGAAUAUGAAGUGAUUUAGUAAAUGAAUUGUGAUUCAUAAUUGACAACCAAUUGCCAUUCUUGAGGUCUAUGUACAGCAUUUAACAUCCUAACUUGGUCAUGAUGCCUCAAUUAUUAUUGAAAACUUCUUCAGUUCUUUGCAUGUUCCUUUUGAAAAUUACAAGAGUAUGCAUGUUAGACGGAAAACCAUUAGUUUACAGCAUCCAAUAACAAUGUGCACUCUAAUUCCUUAAUUUUCUCUUCAAUAUUUACAUGACAAAAUUACUAUUAGAUGCUGUAAACUAAUGGUUGAGUAACUUUAUUUUGUGUUUUAUAAAAUAUUUGCAAAACAAAUUAUCUGCAAUUGGUUGAACAAAGAUUAAAUAUUUCAUUUCUCUGAAAGCAAUUACAUGCCAUUGAGGGGUUCGUCCCCAUUUUGGCUUUGUAUAAGAUGCUUGUUCAAAAAGGAAAAACAAAUUGACAUCACUAAAACUAUCCUGUACAAUUUCUUUCCUCAACUCUAAAUCCCUAAUCCUAUUGCCCUCUAAUCUCCAUAUCCCUCUUUGUGAUCUUUUCAAAACUAAAUCUAUGUUUGGUGCAUGUUUGGUUACACAGCUUUCGGAGCGCCUAGAUAUCCGAACGUGCUUCAAAAUCUUGUUCAUCUAGAAACAUCUUAUUUAAAACGCAGCUUAUUUUACUCACAAACGCAGCAUUUGAGGAUCAAACGCAAUGUGCAGUGCAUUUGGAGGUCCAAAUGCCGCGAACGCUACCACCGCAAACGCUACUAACCAAACAAACCCUUAAUUUUAAUCACGAUUUGGAAA